This 468-nucleotide ribosomal RNA is filed under the name Escherichia coli. Its description in RNAcentral is "partial 23S ribosomal RNA". It matches the Rfam family "Bacterial large subunit ribosomal RNA", at positions 1 to 508 of the family's 2925-position model. The record is from RNAcentral. Lineage: Bacteria; Pseudomonadati; Pseudomonadota; Gammaproteobacteria; Enterobacterales; Enterobacteriaceae.
GGUUAAGCGACUAAGCGUACACGGUGGAUGCCCUGGCAGUCAGAGGCGAUGAAGGACGUGCUAAUCUGCGAUAAGCGUCGGUGAGGUGAUAUGAACCGUUAUAACCGGCGAUUUCCGAAUGGGGAAACCCAGUGUGUUUCGACACACUAUCAUUAACUGAAUCCAUAGGUUAAUGAGGCGAACCGGGGGAACUGAAACAUCUAAGUACCCCGAGGAAAAGAAAUCAACCGAGAUUCCCCCAGUAGCGGCGAGCGAACGGGGAGGAGCCCAGAGCCUGAAUCAGUGUGUGUGUUAGUGGAAGCGUCUGGAAAGGCGCGCGAUACAGGGUGACAGCCCCGUACACAAAAAUGCACAUAUUGUGAGCUCGAUGAGUAGGGCGGGACACGUGGUAUCCUGUCUGAAUAUGGGGGGACCAUCCUCCAAGGCUAAAUACUCCUGACUGACCGAUAGUGAACCAGUACCGUGAGG